This 240-nucleotide ribosomal RNA is filed under the name uncultured Pseudonocardia sp. RNAcentral's name for it is "partial 16S ribosomal RNA". It matches the Rfam family "Bacterial small subunit ribosomal RNA", at positions 901 to 1141 of the family's 1533-position model. Lineage: Bacteria; Bacillati; Actinomycetota; Actinomycetes; Pseudonocardiales; Pseudonocardiaceae. The record is from RNAcentral.
UCAAAGGAAUUGACGGGGGCCCGCACAAGCGGCGGAGCAUGUGGAUUAAUUCGAUGCAACGCGAAGAACCUUACCUGGGGUUUGACAUGCACAGGAUUGCGGCAGAGAUGUCGUUUCCCUUGUGGCCUGUGUGCAGGUGGUGCAUGGCUGUCGUCAGCUCGUGUCGUGAGAUGUUGGGUUAAGUCCCGCAACGAGCGCAACCCUUGUUCCAUGUUGCCAGCGGGUUAUGCCGGGGACUCA